RNAcentral lists this ribosomal RNA (253 nucleotides) under uncultured bacterium. RNAcentral describes it as "partial 16S ribosomal RNA". It matches the Rfam family "Bacterial small subunit ribosomal RNA", at positions 524 to 776 of the family's 1533-position model. The record is from RNAcentral.
UACGUAGGGUGCAAGCGUUAAUCGGAAUUACUGGGCGUAAAGGGCUCGUAGGCGGCCAACUAAGUCAGACGUGAAAUCCCUCGGCUUAACCGGGGAACUGCGUCUGAUACUGGAUGGCUUGAGUUUGGGAGAGGGAUGCGGAAUUCCAGGUGUAGCGGUGAAAUGCGUAGAUAUCAGGAGGAACACCAAUUGCGAAGGCAGCUCGCUGGGACGUUACUGACGCUGAGACGCGAAAGCGUGGGGAGCAAACAGG